This is a long non-coding RNA of Chrysolophus pictus (golden pheasant), 1835 nucleotides long. Lineage: Eukaryota; Metazoa; Chordata; Aves; Galliformes; Phasianidae. The record is from Ensembl.
AUGAUUUUAAUAAUAAAUAGACAAUAUGAUAAAUGUCUGUUUAUGUUACAGCCCUUCACAUGGCCCUGGGACAGAAGUGAGACUGCAAGAGCAAGAGAUUGUUCUGGCUCUAAAAGAGUGAUUGAUGAAAUUGUAGGACAAAACAACUCUUCGUUGGGCUGAAAUACUGAGGGUGAACAUACAGGAGCUGCUGUCUUCUGCACUAUAGUUUUGUUUACAGCAAUAUGGAACAAAGGUGCUACUUGUUUUAGAAAUGCAUCAGUGUAUCUGAGGAUAUCAUAUGACUUUUAAGAUAAAACAGUGCAUACUGUUCUGAAACAUUAAAGUUCUUAAAAAAAAAAAAAAACUUCAGUCUGCUUUUGUCACUCAAUUGCAUAAAGGAAUGACACCUGAUUACCCAACAUGUCUUUGAUACACCACAUCUUUGAUCCACAUGCAUGCUUCUAUGAUUUGCUGUAAUACGAUGCAGUAGUUGUAUACAUGGUGCAGUGUAGUCACUGCAGAUAGAAUGCUUACAGCUGAAGCCUGUUCACACUAUCUGGUGUUCGGUAGUUUAGGCAGUUUAAACACAUAAUGCUAAGACUGCUACUGUGCUUACUGUAGAGAUUAGGCCCUAAUACCCCAACAGCAAGAAGAGAAGUGUUCAAAUUAGGGCAAAUGCAACUGUUUCUGUAGCUUUUUCAGGCUUGAAACUUGGCCUCGAAGUCUGAUAGGGGCACUGCAUAAUCUGUUUCUGCAGCAGCAGCAUUUAUUCUAGCUAAUUGUACAUGUCUUCUCUAAAUAGUGGUUCAAAUAUGAACUGAAGCCUGUUCACACUAUCUGGUGUUUGGUAGUUUAGGCAGUUUAAACACAUAAUGCUAAGACUGCUACUGUGCUUACUGUGGAGAUUAGGCCCUAAUACCCCAACAGCAAGAAAAGAAGUGUUCAAAUUAGGGCAAAUGUAACUGUUUCUGUAGCUUUUUCAGGCUCGAAACUUGGCCUCGAAGUCUGAUGGGGGCACUGCAUUAUCUGUUUCUGCAGCAGUAGCAUUUAUUCUAGCUAAUUGUACAUGUCUUCUCUAAAUAGUGGUUCAAAUAUGAACUGAUUUCCAGAUGGGAAGAAAGGGAAAAAGAUCCUAUGUAGCUUGACAGCUGUCUUUGUUGUAACUGAUGAAGAGUAAAAAAAGGCAGAUGUUGCUGACCAUUUUGCCCACUUGGUGUCACCAAGUGAAAGAUUUUAAUGUACUUCAGAGUGUAUAUAGAAAGCAGGUAAUGAUAUUAAUGAACUAAUUGCAUGUGACUGUAUGCUUAUGCAGUGGGAAUGGGAAUCUAAAGCUUUUAGAUUAGCUGUACAGCUCCAAGUGGAACAUACAUUGAUGUUGCUUUUGAAAGGGACGAAACUUCCAUCCUAUAAGUAAAAAAAGGCAGAUGUUGCUGACCAUUUUGCCCACUUGGUGUCACCAAGUGAAAGAUUUUAAUGUACUUCAGAGUGUAUAUAGAAAGCAGGUAAUGAUAUUAAUGAACUAAUUGCAUGUGACUGUAUGCUUAUGCAGUGGGAAUGGGAAUCUAAAGCUUUUAGAUUAGCUGUACAGCUCCAAGUGAAGUGGAACAUAACAUUGAUGUUGCUUUUGAAAGGGAUGAAACUUCCAUCCUAUUUGAAGUUCUUAGGAUGUGUGCCAGAAAACAGCCCUUAAGCAAGGCUGACACAGCAGCUGUCAGUCAAAAAUGGUAGUUCAGAAGUAGCAAGAAGUUAGGAAUGACCUAGAAGCCAUUUUGUACAGUUCAUUUGCACCCUUUGAAAUAGCUGGUCAAAUAUCAAAGUUGAAAAAAAUAAACUGAAUGAAUAUGGCUCUGUCA